RNA transcript from Strigops habroptila (Kakapo), 1093 nucleotides. It is a transcript of the gene named mitochondrial ribosomal protein S21, with no coding region annotated. The transcript has 5 exons. The record is from RefSeq and is a predicted model, not a curated record. Lineage: Eukaryota; Metazoa; Chordata; Aves; Psittaciformes; Psittacidae.
UUUGUGAAGCCCCGCCCCUUUCUAAGCUCCGCCCCCUUGCCUGACCCCCCCCCCCAACGCCCCCUGACGUCACAAAGGCACACCCCCCGCUUGGUGGCCCCUCCUCCCCAUCAUUAUGUAACAUCGCCCCGGCGGAGGCCGCCCUGCCCCUCCCUCCCUAUUGGCAGGGACGCGAGACCAAAGUCACCGCCCAUUGGUGGAUCGUAGCGGGGCGGGGCUGGAGGAGAAGGGGCGGAGCCAAUGAGCCCCCAGCGCGGAGCCACGUGACGCGCAGCCCGUGUCGCCACAUGGAGGGGCGUGGCCGCGGCUCCACCUCCUCAGGCCAAUCAGCUGCGGGGCGGCACCGCAUUGGGCAGCGCCGGCCAACCAGCGGCGAGGGGGCGUGGCGUGGCGCCGAGGCUCCGCCCGCUGCUGGGACGCGGGAGCCAAUGGACGAACGGGGUGGGCGGGGCCCAGCGGGAGGCACGUGCGGCCGCGCACGUGUCCGCGUGGGGCCACCGCGGCCGGGGCGGGACCGGGACGGGAACAACGAGACCGGGACCAGCGGUACCGGGACAGCGCGGUAUCGGUACCGACACCCGGACACCGGCACCUGCAGCACCCCCGAGCCUCAUCCCGACGGAGCUGAACCCCCCCCUUACCAUGGAGCCCCCCCCCCGCGCCUGCUCCUGCGGCUCCCCUACCUCCGACAGCGAGACCGAGGGGGGCGGCACCCUCCCGCCCCCCCCCCAAACCUGAGCACGGCUGCAAGCGCCUGGGGGGGCCGGAACGAGCUCCCUCCGGCUCCCCCCCAUCCCCCUGCACUGGGAAGCGGCCCCGGAAAGGGGAGGGGGGGAAGCCCCAGCCCCCCACCCCCAGUGAUGCCGAUCUCCUCUUUGCCCAAAAAUGCCGGGAGCUGGGGGGCUUCAUCCAGCCCCUGGAGGAGCUGCUCGAGGGGCUCAAGCGGGGACGGUACGACAGAGGCCUGAGCAGCUUCCAGCAGAGCGUGGCCAUGGACCGGCUCCAGCGCAUCAUCGGGGUCCUGCAGAAUCCAGAAAUGGGCGCCCGGUACUUGGCGACGCUGCUGCAAGUCGAGGGGAUGCUGCGGGUCUGG